AUUGAACGCUGGCGGAAUGCUUUACACAUGCAAGUCGAACGGCAGCACGGACUUCGGUCUGGUGGCGAGUGGCGAACGGGUGAGUAAUGUAUCGGAACGUGCCCAGUCGUGGGGGAUAACGUAGUGAAAAUUACGCUAAUACCGCAUACGAUCUAUGGAUGAAAGCGGGGGAUCGCAAGACCUCGCGCGAUUGGAGCGGCCGAUAUCAGAUUAGGUAGUUGGUGGGGUAACGGCCCACCAAGCCAACGAUCUGUAGCUGGUCUGAGAGGACUACCAGCCACACUGGAACUGAAGCACGGUCCAGACUCCUACGGGAGGCAGCAGUGGGGAAUUUUGGACAAGGGUCGAAAGCCUGAUCCAGCCAGUCCGCGUGCAGGAUGAAGGCCCUCGGGUUGUAAACUGCUUUUGUACAGAACGAAAAGGUUUCUACUAAUACUAGGAGCUCAUGACGGUACUGUAAGAAUAAGCACCGGCUAACUACGUGCCAGCAGCCGCGGUAA
Molecule: ribosomal RNA, 500 nt
Filed under: uncultured bacterium
Lineage: Bacteria
Description: partial 16S ribosomal RNA
Rfam family: Bacterial small subunit ribosomal RNA
Source: RNAcentral